GGACUACAAGGGUAUCUAAUCCUGUUUGCUCCCCACGCUUUCGUGCCUGAUCGUCAGUUGUGAGCCAGAUAGCCGCCUUCGCCACCGGUGUUCCACCCAAUCUCUACGCAUUUCACCGCUACACUGGGUAUUCCACUAUCCCCUCUCACACUCUAGUACUGAGGUCUCGCAGGCAGUUCCAGGGUUAAGCCCUGGGAUUUCACCCGCGACUCUCAAUACCGACUACGCACGCUUUACGCCCAGUAAUUCCGAACAACGCUUGCACCCUCUGUAUUACCGCGGCUGCUGGCAC
RNAcentral lists this ribosomal RNA (292 nucleotides) under uncultured bacterium. RNAcentral describes it as "partial 16S ribosomal RNA". The record is from RNAcentral.